GGACCCGCACAAGCGGUGGAGUAUGUGGUUUAAUUCGAUGCAACGCGAAGAACCUUACCAGGGUUUGACAUCCUGCGAAUCUCUUGGAAACGAGAGAGUGCCUUCGGGAGCGCAGUGACAGGUGGUGCAUGGCUGUCGUCAGCUCGUGUCGUGAGAUGUUGGGUUAAGUCCCGCAACGAGCGCAACCCUUGUCCUUUAGUUACCAGCGGGUUAAGCCGGAACUCUAAGGAUACUGCCAGUGACAAACUGGAGGAAGGCGGGGACGACGUCAAGUCAUCAUGGCCCUUACGGACCAGGGCUACACACGUGCUACAAUGGUAGGUACAGAGGGCAGCUACACAGCGAUGUGAUGC
This 353-nucleotide ribosomal RNA is filed under the name uncultured bacterium. RNAcentral describes it as "bacterial SSU rRNA". It matches the Rfam family "Bacterial small subunit ribosomal RNA", at positions 917 to 1268 of the family's 1533-position model. The record is from RNAcentral.